CAACUUUAUUUAUAAUAGCAUGAAAUUGGAAAAAUGUCCAUAAGUCCACCAACAGUUAAAGAGAGAAACAAAUUGUGGUAUACUCAUUCAAUGCAAUACUAUUCAGCAAUAAAAAGUAAUGAACUAUUGAUACACAGUACAACACGGAUGAAUCUCAAAAUAAUUAUGCUGCAUAGAAGCAAUCAGACAAAAAGAGUACAUAUUGUAUGUUUCCACUUAUAUAAAAUCCUAUGAACCCAAACUAAUCUACAGUGUCAGGAAGCAGAUGGGGUUGUCCGUGGAUCUGUGGGGAGGAGAGAAGGGGAGGCUGGGGAACUAGGGAGGGGCAGCAUGCAGGAAUUACAAGAGGGUAUGAGGAAAUUUUUUGGGGGGGGGGGUUGUAUAUGUGCACAACCUUGAUGGGUAGUGAUGGUUUCAGGAGUGUGUUGUGUGUGUGUGUGUGUGUGUGUGUGUGUGUGUAUGUAAAACAGUAUCAAAGGCUGUGCCUUAAAUAUGUGCAGUUUAUUGUAUAUCAAAUUUUCAUCAAUAAAUCUGUUUAAAAAAAUACUGGACGCUAGAAGAUAAUGAGUGAUGCCUUUGGUGUUCUAAAGGAGAAUUAUUUACAAUCCAGAGUUUUAUAGCCAGCUAAAUCAUUAAUGGAAAGGGCAGAAUAAAGAUUGUUUUGGACAAGCAUUGUCCUAGAAAGUUUACCUGUGUGUACUCUCAUAGGAACUUACACGAGGACACAGUAUUACUCCAUGAGGAGUGGUGUGGUAUGAGGGGAAGGGUAAACUGGUCAGAUGGUGGGACCCAGAGUGCCUUCUAAUGAUCAGAUCCCUUAACAUCGCUCCAAGGAGUAUCUUUAUUCCUUGGUCUGUGCUGGACAGUCUUAACAACUCUCCUUUAUUUUCAGAUUUCAUGCUGAUAUCCUCUUUAGUCUGCACUUGAAAUUCCAGUGGAUGCUUGACAUUGGGAAAGGUCUGGUCUGGGGGCUUGGGAAAUCUGUAGAUGGAGAAUAUCUCAUGCACAAAGAGUUACUGCUAUGAGUUAUUUCAGCCUCAGAGAUAAAGACACAGUGCGGAUCCUGGGACGGGAAUGAGUCUUCCCCAAAGUACAAAUGACCAGAUGCCAAGGAUCUUUAGGGUAGUUAACGAGUACUGGAAACCACCCAUGCCAUAUCCUUUAGGGCAAAAGUCAACCGUACAACAUUCCUCACACAUAUAUUUUUCUCUC
RNAcentral lists this long non-coding RNA (1212 nucleotides) under Equus caballus (horse). RNAcentral describes it as "lncRNA (ENSECAG00000049698.1)". Lineage: Eukaryota; Metazoa; Chordata; Mammalia; Perissodactyla; Equidae. The record is from RNAcentral.